RNAcentral lists this ribosomal RNA (253 nucleotides) under uncultured bacterium. Its description in RNAcentral is "partial 16S ribosomal RNA". It matches the Rfam family "Bacterial small subunit ribosomal RNA", at positions 524 to 776 of the family's 1533-position model. The record is from RNAcentral.
UACGGGGGGGGCAAGCGUUGUUCGGAAUUACUGGGCGUAAAGGGCUCGUAGGCGGCCAACUAAGUCAUACGUGAAAUCCCCCGGCUUAACCGGGGAACUGCGUCUGAUACUGGAUGGCUUGAGUUCGGGAGAGGGAUGCGGAAUUCCAGGUGUAGCGGUGAAAUGCGUAGAUAUCUGGAGGAACACCGGUGGCGAAGGCGGCAUCCUGGACCGAUACUGACGCUGAGGAGCGAAAGCGUGGGGAGCAAACAGG